CCUACGGGGUGCAGCAGUGGGGAAUAUUGCUCAAUGGGGGAAACCCUGAUGCAGCGACGCCGCGUGAGGGAAGAAGUAUCUCUGGACGUAAAGCUCCAUCUGUAGGGAAGUAAAUGACGGUACGUGACUAAGUAUCCCCGGCUAACGACAUGCCAGCAGCCGCGGUCACACGGAGGGCGCCAGCGUUAUCCGGAUGUACUGGGUGUAAAGGGGGCGUAGACGGGUGCAGAAGGCUGGAGUGAAAACCCGGGGCUUAACCGCGGAACUGCUUUGGAAACUGGGCGGCUGGCGUGAAGGAGGGGUAUGCGGAAUUCGUGGUGUAGCGGUGAAAUGCGUAGAUAUUAGGAGGAACACCGAUGGCGAAGGCGGCUUACUGGACUGUAACUGACGUUGAGGCUCGAAAGCGUGGGGAGCAAACAGGAUUAGAUACCCGGGUAGUC
RNAcentral lists this ribosomal RNA (440 nucleotides) under uncultured bacterium. RNAcentral describes it as "partial 16S ribosomal RNA". It matches the Rfam family "Bacterial small subunit ribosomal RNA", at positions 338 to 795 of the family's 1533-position model. The record is from RNAcentral.